ACAUGAGGGCUAUCUGGCUGUGACAUCUGUCACCCAUCGCCAGAACUGAUCGGCUGAUCUGGCUGGCUAGGCAGGUGUCCCUCCCCAUCUCACUGCUGUGUGUGUGUCCCUUCUGAAGCUGCAUGCUGGGUUGAAGAGGAUGACCUUCAGAGAUAGAGAAGGACUGUUCUUCAGUCAAGGGUACGUGAACAGCUGCACUCCCCUGCUAGAACCUCCAAACAAGAUCUCAAGAAUAUUAACAAAUAGAAUUCAGUGAUAUAUAAAAAGAAUUAUACACCAUGACAAAGCGCGGGGGGGGGUUAUUU
Molecule: small nuclear RNA, 305 nt
Filed under: Neogale vison (American mink)
Lineage: Eukaryota; Metazoa; Chordata; Mammalia; Carnivora; Mustelidae
Description: Neovison vison (American mink) 7SK RNA (ENSNVIG00000018022.1)
Rfam family: 7SK RNA
About the family: 7SK was discovered as an abundant small nuclear RNA in the mid-70s but a possible function has only recently been suggested. Two independent studies have found that 7SK RNA binds the CDK9/cyclin T complex (known as elongation factor P-TEFb).
Source: RNAcentral